AUAUAUAAAGAAGAAAAAAUAUACAAAAAAUUUUAAAAAAUGAACUAGUCAUUAGUAUUGUAUAAAAAAAGUGAACUAGUCAUUAGUAUUCUUUCUACCUAAAAUUUUUUUAUUAGAAUUUUUUUAACCUUUUUGCUACUGCUAAGAAAAAAAAUAAAAGAGCUAGCGUGUCAUCGGACCUGCUAUAGCAUUCUUAUUUAAUACGAAAAUUUUGGUGGACUCCACUUGGGGUCAACUUGGACUCCACUCUUUGUCAGCUAAUUCACGAAUAAUUCGCGAAUUAUUUGCGAAUUAUUGAAAAUCCGAAUUAAAUGGUUCAUUUACAAUUUUUUCCUAAAGAAAGGAAAUUAUUCGCGAAUUUUUGAGCCAGCCGAAUAAUCUCAAAUUUUUUCAAAUUUGAGAUUUAGCUAACAAAGCACCGGGGGUGGCUAUUUGAGCAUCUUUUCACUAUAUCAUCUUAUAACUCCGAAAAAUCCAAAAUAUUCACUAUUUUUCAACAUUUUCAUUUACAUGAUCAAUUUCUAUGUGGCAGCUUUACACACUUUCCGGACGACCGGGGUGGUAGCUCUUUUCUAUAUGUGGUGGUAGUUUUCACACUCCUUUUGGAUGUAAUUCUUUCCACAUCUUUUAAUCAUAGGAGCAUUUUUUUUUUCUUUUGUAUCAAUUUCUCACAUUAUUUAAUACAAACUCCCCUUAAAUUAGACAAUCUUGCAUUUGAAAGAAAAUUUGACAAAUUUUAGUCUAUUAACGAACAAUCAUUACUCCAAAAAAAUUUCACGGGUUUAUUUUAAGAACUGUUUGGAUACAUAUUAUAGAAUUCUACAGGAUUUCUGAUAAUCUUUAAAAAUUUAGCUAUUAAAAAGCUAUUAAAGUUACAGUACAGAUCCUUGACAGGAAUGUUAGGAGCUUUGUCUUCUA
RNAcentral lists this long non-coding RNA (918 nucleotides) under Ananas comosus (pineapple). Its description in RNAcentral is "long non-coding RNA (ACOM_LNC014966)". Lineage: Eukaryota; Viridiplantae; Streptophyta; Magnoliopsida; Poales; Bromeliaceae. The record is from RNAcentral.